RNAcentral lists this ribosomal RNA (429 nucleotides) under uncultured archaeon. RNAcentral's name for it is "bacterial SSU rRNA". It matches the Rfam family "Archaeal small subunit ribosomal RNA", at positions 474 to 903 of the family's 1478-position model. The record is from RNAcentral.
UACCAGCUCUCCGAGUUGUAGGGAUGAUUAUUGGGCUUAAAGCGUCCGUAGCCGGCUUAGCAAGUCUCCUGUUAAAUUCAGCGACCUAAUCGUUGAGCCGCGGGAGAUACUACUUGGCUAGGAGGCGGGAGAGGUCGACGGUACUUUCGGGGUAGGGGUGGAAUCCUAUAAUCCCGGGAGGACCACCAGUGGCGAAGGCUGUCGACUAGAACGCGCUCGACGGUGAGGGACGAAAGCUGGGGGAGCGAACCGGAUUAGAUACCCGGGUAGUCCCAGCUGUAAACGAUGCGGGCUAGGUGUUGGGGUAGCUACGGGCCACUUCAGUGCCGCAGGAAAGCCAUUAAGCCCGCCGCCUGGGGAGUACGGCCGCAAGGCUGAAACUUAAAGGAAUUGGCGGGGGAGCACCACAAGGCGUGAAGCUUGCGGUUC